CAGUCGCCGCGGUAAUACGUAGGUGGCAAGCGUUGUCCGGAAUUAUUGGGCGUAAAGGGCUCGCAGGCGGUUUCUUAAGCCUGAUGUGAAAGCCCCCGGCUCAACCGGGGAGGGUCAUUGGAAACUGGGAAACUUGAGUGCAGAAGAGGAGAGUGGAAUUCCACGUGUAGCGGUGAAAUGCGUAGAGAUGUGGAGGAACACCAGUGGCGAAGGCGACUCUCCGGUCUGUAACUGACGCUGAGGAGCGAAAGCGUGGGGAGCGAACAGGAUUAGAGACCCCCGUAGUCCCUGUCUCUUAUAC
This 301-nucleotide ribosomal RNA is filed under the name uncultured bacterium. RNAcentral's name for it is "partial 16S ribosomal RNA". It matches the Rfam family "Bacterial small subunit ribosomal RNA", at positions 509 to 807 of the family's 1533-position model. The record is from RNAcentral.